This is a non-coding RNA of Acanthosepion pharaonis, 96 nucleotides long. Lineage: Eukaryota; Metazoa; Mollusca; Cephalopoda; Sepiida; Sepiidae. The record is from the annotation of a GenBank genome assembly.
UUAUGGCCAUAUCAGGUUGAAAAAACCGUUUCUCGUACGAACACCAAUGUUAAGCAACGUCGAGCCUAGUCAGUACCUAGAUGGGUCGCCGUUUGU